Long non-coding RNA from Solanum lycopersicum (tomato), 1841 nucleotides. RefSeq lists it as uncharacterized. The record is from RefSeq and is a predicted model, not a curated record. Lineage: Eukaryota; Viridiplantae; Streptophyta; Magnoliopsida; Solanales; Solanaceae.
UCUUCAUUUGACCAAUUUGAUCUUGGUGUGUUAAAAUUUUCUUCUUUUUUCACUUUGGUUUAUUAUUUAUGUUCGAUAUUCCUAGUGCUUUGAAAGCCCCAAUAAUUUAAAUCGUUGUACUUCCAAUUUCCGUUAGGUGAAUUUGUUUGCCUUGUUCUCAGUAAUUCCUAUUUAAGAUUUUUGUUUAGUUUCUUGCAUGCAGUAAUUUGAUAAAAUAAUUUUGAGUUUUUGGAAUUUCUCCAACUGUCACUUUUGACUAUAGGUUUGCUUUGAAUAUACAAAAUUUACUGAAGUUAUUGGUUGAUAUGUUUUUCUAUAACUUUGCUUUGAUCUAUUUAUUUGCUUAGUAGAUAAUUUACAGGUGCAAAUUUUAUUUUAUUCUUCGAUCUUUUUUUAUUCUGAUUGAGCGGGAUUAGAAUGGCUUAGAAUACAUCUCAAAAUGUUGAUUUUUUCGAGUCGCUUUUGUCUAUACCUAGCGGAAUUUGUAAUGAAGUUGUUAGGUAUUUAUCUUUCGUCAAUAAACAUCUAAUGCCGAUGUCUCCAAAUUUGUCUUUUAUUUCAAUAAUUUUUUGUUGAUGAUGAUUUAAAGCUUCAAGUUUCGUUGUCUCGCCUUUUCUAUGUGGGUUUAGCAUUAAGUUUCUUCCUAUUUUUCCAUUGACGUUUUGAAAUUAUUUUCAUUUGUAGUGUGAAGUUAAGAAUCUCCAGCCACAUCUACUAGAAUUAGUUAUAUCCCUUUACUUCAUGUCAUUCUUCCUCUGGUUAUGAUGUGGGCUUAUGUUUCUGCAUUUAAGGUAAGAUAAAGGGCCAGACAUAUUGGGGUCGGAGGAUCCAUCCAACAAUCUUUUUUAUGACAAAACGAUUUACUAUCAAUAAAAAUCACCAUGGCUACACAUGAGUAGACUUAUAAAGUCUAGCUUAUAGAUUAAGGCCCUUCCCUAACCAAAAAAGAGAGAAACAAGAAAUAUCAACUAAUGGCAUUACAAGAUGAAGAGAUAUUGAUCAGACAGUAACUUCGUGAUGGCAAUAUCAACAACAACUAGAUGAAAGUGUCCAUAUAUAAAUUAAUUUGAGUAAUUUUUUUCAGAGAUAUGAUAGCAGACAGAAGAUUGGAAAGUCAAUCAUUCAUCACUUUAGGAACAGUUUUCUGGGAAAGAUUAUUGAGGCUGAUAGGUCUCAAACUCAGGAAAAGAUUGAGGAAACUCAACUGCGAAUUUUUAAGAACGGUACAAAUAUCACACAUUAUGAAAAGAGUUUGUUCCGUUCCAAAGACACUUGGUGUCGAUGGACAUGUCCAAGAAUCAACAAUGGCAUAUGGAACUCGUGUUCAUGAUUUCACUUGGACGAUCGAUCGGGGCACAAUUGUUGAAACAAUAGAAGAGCCCUCCAUCGUAAGAUUCAAAUGGAAGCAAAAUUCAAAAUUUCAUCAUCAUUGAUUAUCACAAUAUUUAACUUCGUGUCUCCUGAAGGGACACAAAUAAAAAGAACAAAAUUAGGAGACACGAUGAAGGCAAUUGCAGCUUCUUUAGAUGGAGAAAGACUGAAAGGUAAUUUUAUCUAGAGUUGCCCAACUUUGAAAAGCAGUCAAAAGGAAGCAUUAUGUAAAUAUAAUAGGAUGUAAAUAUCUAAAUAAUACAACCAUAAAAACAAAUUAAACAUUGUCAACUAUAUUUACAAUAUCUAGCGAUCUCUAUGUAUCUAUCUAUGUCCAUAUAAACAUUUAGCCAGCUCAUACAUUUCUAUAUGUUUAGAUCCAAGUAACAAAAAAUUUCCAACGGUAGCACGGGCCACCUCUAUCUAGUAUUAAUAGAAAAAAAAAAUAAGGUGGACUACAAUUUGGGAAU